CCCUAUGGGGUGCAGCAGGCGCGAAAACUUGGCAAUGCGAGAAAUCGUGACCAGGGAACUCCAAGUGCAUCGGGUAAGACCGGUGCUUUUCUUGACUCUAAAUAGGUCUUGGAAUAAGGGGUGGGUAAGGACGGUGCCAGCCGCCGCGGUAAUACCGGCGCCUCAAGUGGUAGUCGCUUUUAUUGGGCCUAAAACGUCCGUAGCCGGUCUGAUACAUUCGUGGGUAAAUCAACCAGCUCAACUGGUUGAAUUCUGCGAGGACGGUCAGACUUGGGACCGGGAGAGGUGUGGGGUACGCUCAGGGUAGGGGUAAAAUCCUGUCAUCCUGAGCGGACCACCUGUUGCGAAGGCGCCACACUAGAACGGAUCCGACGGUCAGGGACGAAGCCUAGGGGCACGAACCGGAUUAGAUACCCGGGUAGUCCUAGGUGUAAACGCUGUGGACUUGAUGUUGGGGGUGCUCCGAGCACUCUCAGUGUCGAAGCGAAGGUGAUAAGUCCACUGCCUGGGAAGUACGGUCGCAAGGCUGAAACUUAAAGGAAUUGGCGGGGGAGCACCGCAACCUGAGGAUUGUGCGGUUUAAUUGGAUUCAACGCCGGA
This 600-nucleotide ribosomal RNA is filed under the name uncultured Candidatus Poseidoniales archaeon. RNAcentral's name for it is "bacterial SSU rRNA". It matches the Rfam family "Archaeal small subunit ribosomal RNA", at positions 321 to 922 of the family's 1478-position model. Lineage: Archaea; Methanobacteriati; Thermoplasmatota; Candidatus Poseidoniia; Candidatus Poseidoniales. The record is from RNAcentral.